Molecule: ribosomal RNA, 1495 nt
Filed under: uncultured bacterium
Lineage: Bacteria
Description: bacterial SSU rRNA
Rfam family: Bacterial small subunit ribosomal RNA
Source: RNAcentral
AGAGUUUGAUCCUGGCUCAGAUUGAACGCUGGCGGCAUGCCUUACACAUGCAAGUCGAACGGCAGCACGGGGGCAACCCUGGUGGCGAGUGGCGAACGGGUGAGUAACAUAUCAGAACGUGCCCUGGAGUGGGGGAUAACUAGUCGAAAGACUAGCUAAUACCGCAUACGAUCUACGGAUGAAAGUGGGGGAUCGCAAGACCUCAUGCUCGUGGGGCGGCCGAUAUCUGAUUAGCUAGUUGGUGGGGUAAAGGCCUACCAAGGCAUCGAUCAGUAGCUGGUCUGAGAGGACGACCAGCCACACUGGGACUGAGACACGGCCCAGACUCCUACGGGAGGCAGCAGUGGGGAAUUUUGGACAAUGGGCGCAAGCCUGAUCCAGCAGUGCCGCGUGAGUGAAGAAGGCCUUCGGGUUGUAAAGCUCUUUUGUCAGGGAAGAAACGGUGAGGGCUAAUAUCCCUUGCUAAUGACGGUACCUGAAGAAUAAGCACCGGCUAACUACGUGCCAGCAGCCGCGGUAAUACGUAGGGUGCAAGCGUUAAUCGGAAUUACUGGGCGUAAAGCGUGCGCAGGCGGUUGUGCAAGACCGAUGUGAAAUCCCCGGGCUUAACCUGGGAAUGGCAUUGGUGACUGCACGGCUAGAGUGUGUCAGAGGGGGGUAGAAUUCCACGUGUAGCAGUGAAUGCGUAGAGAUGUGGAGGAAUACGAUGGCGAAGCAGCCCCCUGGGAUAACACUGACGCUCAUGCACGAAAGCGUGGGGAGCAAACAGGAUUAGAUACCCUGGUAGUCCACGCCCUAAACGAUGUCAACUAGUUGUCGGGUCUUAAUUGACUUGGUAACGCAGCUAACGCGUGAAGUUGACCGCCUGGGGAGUACGGUCGCAAGAUUAAAACUCAAAGGAAUUGACGGGACCCGCACAAGCGGUGGAUGAUGUGGAUUAAUUCGAUGCAACGCGAAAAACCUUACCUACCCUUGACAUGGCAGGAAUCCCCGAGAGAUCGGGGAGUGCUCGAAAGAGAACCUGCACACAGGUGCUGCAUGGCUGUCGUCAGCUCGUGUCGUGAGAUGUUGGGUUAAGUCCCGCAACGAGCGCAACCCUUGUCAUUAGUUGCUACAUUCAGUUGAGCACUCUAAUGAGACUGCCGGUGACAAACCGGAGGAAGGUGGGGAUGACGUCAAGUCCUCAUGGCCCUUAUGGGUAGGGCUUCACACGUCAUACAAUGGUACAUACAGAGGGCCGCCAACCCGCGAGGGGGAGCUAAUCCCAGAAAGUGUAUCGUAGUCCGGAUUGCAGUCUGCAACUCGACUGCAUGAAGUUGGAAUCGCUAGUAAUCGCGGAUCAGCAUGUCGCGGUGAAUACGUUCCCGGGUCUUGUACACACCGCCCGUCACACCAUGGGAGCGGGUUUUACCAGAAGUAGGUAGCUUAACCGCAAGGAGGGCGCUUACCACGGUAGGAUUCGUGACUGGGGUGAAGUCGUAACAAGGUAACCGUA